Molecule: small nuclear RNA, 107 nt
Filed under: Microcebus murinus (gray mouse lemur)
Lineage: Eukaryota; Metazoa; Chordata; Mammalia; Primates; Cheirogaleidae
Source: RNAcentral
GUACUCACUUCAGCAGCACAUAUACUAAAAUUGGGACACCAGAGAAAAGAUUAGCAUGACCCCUUUGCAAGGAUGACAUGCAAAUUCAUGAAGCAUUUCGUAUUUUU